RNAcentral lists this ribosomal RNA (3133 nucleotides) under human metagenome. Its description in RNAcentral is "bacterial LSU rRNA". It matches the Rfam family "Bacterial large subunit ribosomal RNA". The record is from RNAcentral.
UUUUUUGUUUUAGGGCGCAUGGUGGAUGCCUGGGUAUGCUAAGCCGAUGAAGGACGUGAUAGGCUGCGUUAAGCCUCGGGGAGUUGCCUGAUGAGCGUUGAUCCGAGGGUGUCCGAAUGGGGAAACCCGGCCAUGGUUAUGUGUGGUCACCCGCCAGUGAAGAAGAUAGUUGGUUGGGGGGUUACGCGGGGAAGUGAAACAUCUUAGUACCCGUAGGAGGAGAAAACAAGAGUGAUUCUGCUAGUAGUGGCGAGCGAACGUGGAUAAGGCUAAACCGUGUGCGUGUGAUACCGGGUAGGGGUUACGCAUGCGGGGUUAGAGGAGCACGGCGUAUCAGUUCUACCUCGGCUGGUGCUGUUGUUGGUGUGUGUUAGUGGAAGUGGUGUGGAAUCGCCUGCCAGAGACGGUGAGAGUCCGGUACACGAAAACACAUGCUUGCGUGGUUGUUGUGUUUCCUGAGUAGCGGCGGGCUCGUGGAAUCUGUCGUGAAUUUGCCGGGACCACCCGGUAAGCCUAAAUACUUAGCAUGACCGAUAGUGGAUCAAGUACCGUGAGGGAAUGGUGAAAAGUACCCCGGGAGGGGAGUGAAAGAGUACCUGAAACCGUGUGCUGAUAAUCCGUCAUAGCCCCCCCUGUUGUGGUGGGGUGGUGGCGUGCCUUUUGAAGAAUGAGCCUGCGAGUCAGUGGCAUGUUGCGUGGUUAACCAUGAGUGUGGGGAGCCGUAGCGAAAGCGAAUCCUAAUCUAGGGUGUGUGUGGCAUGUUCUGGACCCGAAGCGGGGUGAUCUACCCAUGGCCAGUGUGAAGCAGAGGUAAGACUUUGUGGAGGCGCGAACCCACUUAGGUUGAAAACUGAGGGGAUGAGUUGUGGGUAGGGGUGAAAGGCCAAUCAAACUCCGUGAUAGCUGGUUCUCCCCGAAAUGCAUUUAGGUGCAGCGUCGCAUAGUGUGCUUGUUGGAGGUAGAGCUACUGGUUGGUUGAGCGGGACGAUAAUCUUAGCAACAUCAGCUAAACUCCGAAUGCCAGCAAUGUGGGUGCGGCAGUGAGACUGCGGGGGAUAAGCUCCGUUGGUCGAGAGGGAAACAGCCCAGAUCGUCGGUUAAGGCCCCUAAGGGUGUGCUCAGUGGGAAAGGAUGUGGGAUCGCGAAGACAGCCAGGAGGUUGGCUUAGAAGCAGCCAUCCUUGAAAGAGUGCGUAAUAGCUCACUGGUCAAGUGAUCGUGCGCCGACAAUGUAGCGGGGCUCAAGCACACCGCCGAAGCCGCGGACCCACAGCGUUUGUUCCCUUCAUCGUCCCACGUUGCUGGGGUGGUGGCAGGGGCUGUGGGUGGUAGGGGAGCGUCCUGCACCGGGGGAAGCCUGUGGGUGACUGCUGGUGGACGGUGCGGGAGUGAGAAUGCAGGCAUGAGUAGCGAUACUAGGGUGAGAAGCCCUAGCGCCGAAUGACCAAGGGUUCCAGGGCCAGGCUAGUCCGCCCUGGGUGAGUCGGGACCUAAGGCGAGGCCGACAGGCGUAGUCGAUGGAUGACGGGUUGAUAUUCCCGUACCCGUGUGCGUGCGACAAGUGAUGAAUCUUAUGGUACUAACCACCCGCCUGUUUCCGCCGGUCUUUUUGGUUGGUGGUUUCAGGUGCGUGGGAUCUUCGUGGGUAGUAGUCAAGUGAUGGGGUGACGCAGAGUGGUAGCUAGGCUUCCUUAUUGGAUUGGAGUGCAAGCGUGUGGCCUGUGGGGUUGGGAAAUCCGCCCCGCAUAUGAGGUGAGGCGUGAUGCGGACACCAUGUUGUGGUGGUAGUUAGUGUGCCUGUGCUGUCUAGAAAAGCCUCUAGCGAGUGCGUGCAUGGCCCGUACCGGAAACCGACACAGGUGGUCAGGUAGAGAAUACUAAGGCGUUCGGGUGAACUGUGGUUAAGGAACUCGGCAAAAUGCCCCCGUAACUUCGGGAGAAGGGGGACCAUUACUGGUUGCUGACAGCAUUAUUGGCUGGUGGUGGUCGCAGAGGAGAGAGGGAAGCGACUGUUUAUUAAAAACACAGGUCCGUGCGAAAACGUGGAAGUUGAGGUAUACGGACUGACGCCUGCCCGGUGCUGGAAGGUUAAGAGGACCCGUGAGCACGCCUAGUGUGUGCGAGGCGGAGAAUUGAAGCCCCAGUAAACGGCGGUGGUAACUAUAACCAUCCUAAGGUAGCGAAAUUCCUUGUCGGGUAAGUUCCGACCUGCACGAAUGGCGUAACGACUUCCCUGCUGUCUCAACCACAGGCCCGGUGAAAUUGCAGUACGAGUAAAGAUGCUCGUUUCGCGCGGCAGGACGAAAAGACCCCGGGACCUUUACUAUAGCUUGGUAUUGGUGUUUGGUCAUGCUUGUGUAGGAUAGGUGGGAGACUGUGAAACCGCAACGCUAGUUGUGGUGGAGUCGCAGGUGAAAUACCACUCUGGUGUGAUUGGGUACCUGAACCUUGGCCCGUGAUCCGGGUUGGGGACAGUGCCUGGUGGGUAGUUUAACUGGGGCGGUUGCCUCCUAAAUGGUAACGGAGGCGCCCAAAGGUUUCCUCAGUCUGGUUGGCAAUCAGAUGGUGAGUGUAAGUGUAUAAGGGAGCUUGACUGUGACACUGACGGGUGGAGCAGGUGCGAAAGCAGGGACUAGUGAUCCGGCAUCUACGUGUGGUUGUGGUGUCGCUCAACGGAUAAAAGGUACCCCGGGGAUAACAGGCUGAUCUUCCCCAAGAGUUCAUAUCGACGGGAUGGUUUGGCACCUCGAUGUCGGCUCGUCGCAUCCUGGGGCUGGAGUAGGUCCCAAGGGUUGGGCUGUUCGCCCAUUAAAGCGGCACGCGAGCUGGGUUUAGAACGUCGUGAGACAGUUCGGUCUCUAUCCGCCGCGCGCGUGGAAACUUGAACAAGGCUGUCCCUAGUACGAGAGGACCGGGAUGGACGUACCUCUAGUGUGCCAGUUGUCACGCCGGUGGCAUGGCUGGUUGGCUAUGUGCGGGAGGGAUAACCGCUGAAAGCAUCUAAGCGGGAAGCCUGUUGUGAGAUGAGGUUUCUGUUGAGGUUCCCUGAAGAUGAGGGGGUUGAUAGGUCGGAGUUGGAAGCAUCGCAAGGUGUUGUGAGAUGACCGAUACUAAUAUGACCGACACAAACUAUC